Molecule: unclassified non-coding RNA, 265 nt
Filed under: Hevea brasiliensis (rubber tree)
Lineage: Eukaryota; Viridiplantae; Streptophyta; Magnoliopsida; Malpighiales; Euphorbiaceae
Source: RNAcentral
GGUUAUGCGAGGGUAAUAAACUUUUUCAUCAAGCUGGUCCUGUACCCAUAUCAACAUCUUCAAUAGGCUUGAAAGCUUCGGAUCUUUUUCAUGACUUUGGCUGGUAAGAAUUGCCGCAUUUACCUCACUUGCGGUCUUUAAGCGUUGGGAUACAUCUACAAGCUCUCUAACUGGGCAUUCAGAUACUUCUUCGAAAGCUAGCAAUGCAACAGUCUUCUCCAAAUCUUCUAAGAAGCUUUCAUUUUCUUCUCCCCUUGGAGCCAGU